CGGACGGGUGAGUAAUGUAUAGGAACUUGCCGUAGUAGUGGGGGACAACGUGUGGAAACGCACGCUAAUACCGCAGUACGCUCUACGGAGGGAAAGCGGGGGAUCUUCGGACCUCGUGCUACUAGAUGGGCCUAUAUUGGAUUAGCUAGUUGGUAAGGUAAAGGCUUACCAAGGCGACGAUCCAUAGCUGGUUUGAGAGAAUGAUCAGCCACACUGGGACUGAGACACGGCCCAG
This 235-nucleotide ribosomal RNA is filed under the name uncultured bacterium. RNAcentral's name for it is "partial 16S ribosomal RNA". It matches the Rfam family "Bacterial small subunit ribosomal RNA", at positions 99 to 334 of the family's 1533-position model. The record is from RNAcentral.